This 442-nucleotide ribosomal RNA is filed under the name uncultured bacterium. RNAcentral describes it as "partial 16S ribosomal RNA". It matches the Rfam family "Bacterial small subunit ribosomal RNA", at positions 338 to 795 of the family's 1533-position model. The record is from RNAcentral.
CCUACGGGAGGCAGCAGUAGGGAAUCUUUCACAAUGGGCGAAAGCCUGAUGGAGCAACGCCGCGUGCAGGAUGAAGGCCUUCGGGUUGUAAACUGCUUUUAUAAGCGAGAAAUAUGAUGGUAACUUAUGAAUAAGGAUCGGCUAACUACGUGCCAGCAGCCGCGGUCAUACGUAGGAUCCGAGCAUUGUCCGGAGUGACUGGGUGUAAAGAGUUGCGUAGGUGGCAUAAUAAGUAGCUAGUGAAAUCUGGUGGCGCAACCAUUCAGACUAUUAGCUAAACUGUUAAGCUCGAGACCGUUAGGGGUAACUGGAAUUUCUAGUGUAGGAGUGAAAUCCGUAGAUAUUAGAAGGAACACCAAUAGCGUAGGCAGGUUGCUGGGACGGUUCUGACACUAAGGCACGAAAGCGUAGGGAGCAAACGGGAUUAGAUACCCCUGUAGUC